RNAcentral lists this ribosomal RNA (2614 nucleotides) under Archamoebae sp. AF065-Y. RNAcentral's name for it is "partial small subunit ribosomal RNA". It matches the Rfam family "Eukaryotic small subunit ribosomal RNA". The record is from RNAcentral. Lineage: Eukaryota; Evosea.
AGUCAUAUGCUUGUGUUUAAGAUUAGUCCAUGCAUGCCUAAGUACAACUUAUUAAUAGCUAAACUGCGGACGGCUCCAUAGAUCAGUAAUUAUUCGUUAGGUGAUGGAAAUUACUUGGAUAACCCUGUUAAUUGUAGAGCUAAUACAUGCAUCGACAACCUGAUUAAUUAAUUUUAAAAGGGUUGCACUUGUCUAAAAUUAAAUAUUAUCUUUGGAAGUAAAUGAAUUCAAAUGUAAUAGGUUAGGAUAUUAAUGGGGUAAUAUAACCCCACUGAGAAUAUAAGUUAAGAGGAGCAAAAACCAAUUAAGGUGAAGGCUUUAACCAAUUCUUGGACUUAAGAUUUUUAUUAUAUAAUAUUCUCGUAAGGGAGUAUUAUACGAUAAUAAUCGAAAGAAACAUUAUAUUAUUUGGGUUAAUUAUCCGUUUGACCCUAUAUGAUUAAUUUAUUUAUUAUACCCCAGGGGAUAAGGGUGAAACAAGACAAUUCUAAGCUGAUCGCUUUCGAAAGAGGGCGACACACCUUUUGAAUUUCUGACCUAUCAACUCGAUGGUAGGAUAGUGGCCUACCAUGGUUAUAACGGGUAACGGGGAAUCAGGGCUCGAUUCCGGAGAGGGAGCCUGAGAAACGGCUACCACUUCCAAGGAAGGCAGCAGGCGCGUAAAUUACUCCCUGCCAACACGGCGAGGUAGUGACGACAAAUACCAAGGAGAGCCGCUUUAAGUGGCUCUUCAUUGGAAUGAGCAGAAUUUAAAUCUCUCUGCAAGUAACAAUUGGAGGGCAAGUCUGGUGCCAGCAGCCGCGGUAAUUCCAGCUCCAAGAGUGUAUACUAAAGCUGUUGCGGUUAAAACGCUCGUAGUUGAAUUCAAACAUCUGAUAUAAAAUAUUUUAUAUUAAUUAUUUUAAUUAAUUAAAGAAGUAAUUUUUUAAUUAAUUAUAAUAAAUAUAUAAAAUAAUCAGAGAAGUUAAUAACCCUUUAAUUUCUUAAUUUUAAUUAUAAAGUUAUAUUAUAAUUUUAUAAUUAUUAAAACUUUGACCGAAAAGGAAGAAGUAAAAUUAAGAUUAAUUGUUCACCUUGAACAAAUUAGAGUGAUUCAGGCAGGUGUUUAACGCCUUCUUGAAUAUAUUAGCAUGGGACGAACAUUAUCCCAAAAACCAACUGAAUUUAAUUAAUUUGANUUAAAUAAAUAUUUGAAUAAUUAGAAGGUAAUAGCUCAGGAUUAUUAAAUUAUUAUAUAUAAAGUUUAUUAUAUUUAAAAGUUAAUUGGUUUGACUUUUAUAAUACUUUGACUUUAAUAUUGUAGUUAUUUUUGGCGUAUAAUAUAGCCUGAAAUAAUCAAUAUUAAAGAGGUAAAUAAUAAAUUUAUAAUGAUUUAAUAAUUACUCUAUUAUCUGAUAAAGACUAAUUAUUUAAAUUAUUUAAUUUGAAUUAAUUAAUUAAAAUUCAGUCAUAUUAUUAAUUUAUAAUUAAUAAUAUGUUUAUAUUAUUAAAUAGGGACAGUCGGGGUGGUUAAUACUUUGUUGCAAGGGGUGAAAUCCUAUGAUCAACAAAAGAUUAACUAGUGCGAAAGCAUUCCACAAGGAUGUUUUCAUUAAUCAAGAACGAAAGUUGGGGGAUCGAAGAUGAUCAGAUACCGUCGUAGUCUCAACUAUAAACUAUGCCGACCAGAGAUCAGGUGACGCUGUCCGAAUAGGACGCAAGGCUCCCCUGGCAUCUUAUGAGAAAUCAUUGAGUGUCUGGGUUUCGGGGGGAGUAUGGUCGCAAGGCUGAAACUUAAAGGAAUUGACGGAAGGGCACACCAGGAGUGGAGCCUGCGGCUUAAUUUGACUCAACACGGGGAAACUUACCAGGUCCAGACAGUAGAAGGAUUGACAGAGUAAAGAACUUUCUAGAUUUACUGGGUGGUGGUGCAUGGCCGUUCUUAGUUCGUGGUGUGGGCUGUCUGUGUCAAUUCCGUUAACGAACGAGACCUUAACCUACUAAAUAGUUGGAUAAAGGAAUUAAUUUAUAGAAGUUAAUUUAAUUAAGUAAUUAAUUAAGUUAAUGAAAGUUUAUUAAACUUUAUUCAAAAACUAUUAUUGAAAUAAAUUAAGUUAGUAAUAAUUUGAUUUAAAUUAAUAAUAGACCAACUUCUUAGAGGGACUAUUUGCACUUAGUAAAUGGAAGUUUGAGGCAAUAACAGGUCUGUGAUGCCCUUCGAUGUCCUGGGCCGCACGCGCGCUACACUGAUUAGAAGAAAAAGUAAUCGAUUGUUUUUAUAUUUUAUAAUCUGUAAAAGGAUUAUGAGGUAUAAUUUUAACAUCAUACCUUUAUUGAAAAAUAUGGGUAAUCUUUCAAAUCUAAUCGUGAUGAGGAUAGACCUUUGUAACUAUUGGUCUUAAAUGAGGAAUUCCUCGUAGGCGUGGGUCAUCAACUCACGCCGAUUAAGUCCCUGCCCUUUGUACACACCGCCCGUCGCUUCUACCGAUUGGAUGAUCCGGUGAAGAUAAUAGAUGAGGAAAAAUUAUAAAAGGCAACUUUUUAAUUUUGGAUCAGAAGUUAUCUAAACCUUAUUAUCUAGAGGAAGGAGAAGUCGUAACAAGGUUUCCGUAGGUGAACCUGCGGAAGGAUCAUU